RNAcentral lists this ribosomal RNA (260 nucleotides) under uncultured archaeon. RNAcentral describes it as "partial 16S ribosomal RNA". It matches the Rfam family "Archaeal small subunit ribosomal RNA", at positions 748 to 1013 of the family's 1478-position model. The record is from RNAcentral.
UAGCCGUAAACGAUACUCGCUAGGUGUCGGCCACGGUGCGACCGUUGUCGGUGCCGUAGGGAAGCCGUGAAGCGAGCCACCUGGGAAGUACGGCCGCAAGGCUGAAACUUAAAGGAAUUGGCGGGGGAGCACAACAACGGGUGGAGCUUGCGGUUUAAUUGGAUUCAACGCCGGAAACCUUACCGGGACCGACAGCAACAUGAAGGCCAAGCUGAAGACUUUGCCGGAUUAGCUGAGAGGAGGUGCAUGGCGUAGUCGUG